AUUGAACGCUGGCGGCAGGCCUAACACAUGCAAGUCGAGCGGAUGAAGGGAGCUUGCUCUUGGAUUCAGCGGCGGACGGGUGAGUAAUGCCUAGGAAUCUGCCUGGCAGUGGGGGAUAACGUCCGGAAACGGGCGCUAAUACCGCAUACGUCCUGAGGGAGAAAGUGGGGGAUCUUUGGACCUCACGCUAUCAGAUGAGCCUAGGUCGGAUUAGCUAGUUGGUGGGGUAAAGGCCUACCAAGGCGACGAUCCGUAACUGGUCUGAGAGGAUGAUCAGUCACACUGGAACUGAGACACGGUCCAGACUCCUACGGGAGGCAGCAGUGGGGAAUAUUGGACAAUGGGCGAAAGCCUGAUCCAGCCAUGCCGCGUGUGUGAAGAAGGUCUUCGGAUUGUAAAGCACUUUAAGUUGGGAGGAAGGGCAGUAAGUUAAUACCUUGCUGUUUUGACGUUACCAACAGAAUAAGCACCGGCUAACUUCGUG
This 484-nucleotide ribosomal RNA is filed under the name uncultured bacterium. RNAcentral describes it as "partial 16S ribosomal RNA". It matches the Rfam family "Bacterial small subunit ribosomal RNA", at positions 30 to 507 of the family's 1533-position model. The record is from RNAcentral.